Podarcis lilfordi (Lilford's wall lizard) is the source of this 81-nucleotide non-coding RNA. NCBI's taxonomy places the organism in Eukaryota, Metazoa, Chordata, Lepidosauria, Squamata, Lacertidae. The record is from the annotation of a GenBank genome assembly.
GCCAUAGCUCAGUGAGAGAGAGCAUCUGCUUUGAAUGCAGAAGGUCCCUGGUUGAGUCCAUGGCAUUUCCAGGUAGGGAUA